CCUACGGGAGGCAGCAGUGGGGAAUAUUGGGCAAUGGAGGAAACUCUGACCCAGCAACGCAGCGUGAAUGAUGACGGUCCUCGGAUUGUAAAGUUCUUUUUUUAGGGGAGUAGAGAGUGACGGUACCUUUGGAUUGAGCCUAGGCUAUCUACGUGCCUGCAGCCGCGGUAAUACGUAGGAGGCGAGCGUUAUCCGGAUGGACUGGGUGUAAAGGGUGCGUAGGUGGUUUGGCAAGUUAGUAGCGUAACUCCAAGGCUCAACCUUGGAAAUACUACUAAAACAGUUGGACUUGAGUGCAGGAGGGGCAGGCGGAAUUCGUAGUGUAGCGGUGGAAUGCGUAGAUAUUAGGAGGAACACCAGUUGCGAAGGCAGGUUGCUAGACUGUAACUGACACUGAGGCACGAAAGCGUGGGGAGCAAACAGGAUUAGAUACCCGAGUAGUC
RNAcentral lists this ribosomal RNA (443 nucleotides) under uncultured bacterium. Its description in RNAcentral is "partial 16S ribosomal RNA". It matches the Rfam family "Bacterial small subunit ribosomal RNA", at positions 338 to 795 of the family's 1533-position model. The record is from RNAcentral.